Molecule: ribosomal RNA, 424 nt
Filed under: Verrucomicrobiota bacterium
Lineage: Bacteria; Pseudomonadati; Verrucomicrobiota
Description: Verrucomicrobia bacterium partial 16S ribosomal RNA
Rfam family: Bacterial small subunit ribosomal RNA
Source: RNAcentral
UGAGGAAUAUUGGUCAAUGGACGCAAGUCUGAACCAGCCAAGUAGCGUGCAGGAUGACGGCCCUAUGGGUUGUAAACUGCUUUUAUAUGGGGAUAAAGUGGGGAACGUGUUCCCUUUUGCAGGUACCAUAUGCAUAAGGACCGGCUAAUUCCGUGCCAGUAGCCGCGGUAAUACGGAAGGUUCGGGCGUUAUCCGUAUUUAUUGGGUUUAAAGGGAGCGUAGGCCGUUUGGUAAGCGUGUUGUGAAAUGUAGGAGCUCAACUUCUAGAUUGCAGCGCGAACUGUCAGACUUGAGUGCGCACAACGUAGGCGGAAUUCAUGGUGUAGCGGUGAAAUGCUUAGAUAUCAUGAAGAACUCCGAUUGCGAAGGCAGCUUACGGGAGUGUUACUGACGCUUAAGCUCGAAGGUGCGGGUAUCGAACAGG